UCCAGACUCCUACGGGAGGCAGCAGUGGGGGAUAUUGCACAAUGGGGGGAACCCUGAUGCAGCGACGCCGCGUGGGUGAAGGAGCGUUUCGGCGCGUAAAGCCCUAUCGGCAGGGAAGAAGGAGGACGGUACCUGACUAAGAAGCCCCGGCUAACUACGUGCCAGCAGCCGCGGUAAUACGUAGGGGGCAAGCGUUAUCCGGAUUUACUGGGUGUAAAGGGGGCGCAGACGGCAGCGCAAGCCAGGAGUGAAAGCCCGGGGCCCAACCCCGGGACUGCUCUUGGAACUGCGCGGCUGGAGUGCAGGAGGGGCAGGCGGAAUUCCUGGUGUAGCGGUGAAAUGCGUAGAUAUCAGGAGGAACACCGGUGGCGAAGGCGGCCUGCUGGACUGCAACUGACGUUGAGGCCCGAAAGCGUGGGGAGCAAACAGGAUUAGAUACCCCCGUACU
This 448-nucleotide ribosomal RNA is filed under the name uncultured bacterium. RNAcentral's name for it is "partial 16S ribosomal RNA". It matches the Rfam family "Bacterial small subunit ribosomal RNA", at positions 330 to 794 of the family's 1533-position model. The record is from RNAcentral.